AUUGAACGCUGGCGGCAGGCCUAACACAUGCAAGUCGAGCGGGGUUUUCGGACCUAGCGGCGGACGGGUGAGUAAUGCGUAGGAAGCUGCCCGAUAGAGGGGGAUACCAGUUGGAAACGACUGUUAAUACCGCAUAAUGUCUACGGACCAAAGUGUGGGACCUUCGGGCCACAUGCUAUCGGAUGCGCCUACGUGGGAUUAGCUAGUUGGUGAGGUAAUGGCUCACCAAGGCGACGAUCUCUAGCUGGUUUGAGAGGAUGAUCAGCCACACUGGAACUGAGACACGGUCCAGACUCCUACGGGAGGCAGCAGUGGGGAAUAUUGGACAAUGGGCGCAAGCCUGAUCCAGCCAUGCCGCGUGUGUGAAGAAGGCCUUCGGGUUGUAAAGCACUUUCAGCGAGGAGGAAGGGUGGUGUGUUAAUAGCACACCAUUUUGACGUUACUCGCAGAAGAAGCACCGGCUAACUCUGUGCCAGCCGCCGCAGAAA
RNAcentral lists this ribosomal RNA (488 nucleotides) under uncultured bacterium. RNAcentral describes it as "partial 16S ribosomal RNA". It matches the Rfam family "Bacterial small subunit ribosomal RNA", at positions 30 to 523 of the family's 1533-position model. The record is from RNAcentral.